AGUCGCUCUGGAUAAGAGCGUCUGCUAAAUGUAAUGUAAAUGUAAUAUUAAAUUAGGUCAUACCUAUGAACUCAAAGAGACUGUAGGAGAUACCUCAAUCAGAGGGGCUGCUCUGAUGACAUCUCUGUUUGCCUUACCUCACAGAGACUACUAGUUGGCUCUGGAUGUAAAAGGUAAAUUCCUGAACAAACAGGCCUACAUGUAAAUCUCCAUCAUGUUAAGAGAGCCAACAAAGAAUAAAAACAUGAUAUGAUUUUUGUGGUUUUAUUGGUGGACAGAAAGUCUUAAAUCUUUCCAAACAAAACCAACAAACAACAUUCAAUUUACAGGCAGUCCUAUAUGUGUGAGAGAGAACAGUGAGUGGGAGACAUGUUUUACUGGACCAAAGAUUAGCAACUUUUUUCUCUACUCUUACUAUUUAAAUACACUUGAUAUCACAUUGAUAAUUUUGAUACUUGAAUAAAAAUCCAAUAGGCAACGUAUCCCUUUCAUUUUAUUAAAAUUAUAAUACUGUACUCCUACUUAAGUUGGAUUCACCAAAAAAUGUUCACAAUGAAUUGAAGUCAUCUUUAAUCAAUGGCAUCCUUAACCAUGGCAAUCUUGAAGAGGCAGACCUUUUUCAAGAUUUGGAAUACUUUUAUUGGACAUGAAGGACAGGAUGCCUUGCUACUUGUUAGAAACUAAAUAAGGUCACCACAGUCAAGAUAAAAUAAGGAUUGUAGCAACAUUUUUUAUAGUAGUGUUAGAUCAUGUGUCGUGUUUCAGUAAAGGUAUCACUGGGAGCUACAACUGAAAAUUUAUUUUGAAAAGAUUUUCUGAUACGUGGUUUCAAAUAUUGAUCAGAGUAAUAUUAUAGAGCAGUAGGACUAUACUCAGCACAUUUCUCUGUCUGAAAAGAAUUAAAGGCCAGAGAGAGAGGGUGCAAUGAUGAGAGGAAUGGAUGGAUAAGAGGAAGGUACUACAUAUAGAGAUGGAAACAAUAGAGAGCUUUUUCAGUCCAGAUCAGUUAUGCAUUGAUCUGAUCCAUCAGUUGAUGUGUGUGCUAAGGAGUGCCCCUCCCCGGAUGGAAUUGCCCUCAUUCCACACACAAACACCCAAACGGACCUAGAUUUCAACUGUCUUCAGUCUGCUGUCAGUACCCCAUGCAUUUAUCAAGACAUUCACUUCCUGCCUUUAGCCCAGAAAUAUUCUGAGCAGCAGCUAUCGGGUUCAUUAGACUACUCAUCUGUACACACGCACACCUUGCUGGCCUUUUUCUACUCCUUAAACCUUCAUUUUACUUAUUGUAUUCUUAUCAUAAACAUGGACUAAUUCGAAUUACAAGAAGCUUCAGGAUACCCCAGUUGGUUGGGUAGCACACAAUAGCCUAUUUAGCAAUGUACAGCAGCGCUUGAAAGCUAAAUAGGUCAACUUCUGAAUCUACCUUGCCCGCUUGCCAGUGGGCAGAUUACCCAACAGACUGUGCCUUGGAAGGGGUUAGGAUUCCAUGUCCUGCACAUACAGACAGGAUGUAUGCAGCCAACCUUUGGCAAGAAUUGUAGGAUGCCAUCUGGUGGACUUAUCUGGGAAUGGAGUAUGC
Long non-coding RNA from Hypomesus transpacificus, 1579 nucleotides. RefSeq lists it as uncharacterized. The transcript has 3 exons. Lineage: Eukaryota; Metazoa; Chordata; Actinopteri; Osmeriformes; Osmeridae. The record is from RefSeq and is a predicted model, not a curated record.